AAGAUCAGUUUGGCAUCUUCUUUUAAAAAAUUGUGAACAAAUCUUUCCAUUUAAAGCCCUACCCUAUUCCACCCUUCUAUCCAGAAAUACAAUUCCUAAGCUUUUCUGAGGUUCUAAAAUAGAACUGCCUCUCUCUCUUUCCCCUCUUUCUCCCUUUCUUCCUGCCUACCUCCUUUUCUUUCUCCCUUAUCUUCUCACUCCUUGGCUUAACUUUAAUCAAUCCAGCUUUCAGUUUCCAAAAGUGUUUUGAUAUCAUCAUCUGUUUUUGUCUCCUUUUUCAUUUUUGCUUGUGUAGUACGAUUUAAAAAAUAUAUAAAUAUACUGUCAUUUAAAUGGUGUUUCAGAAAGGAGUAGAGAUAAACACAGGUUUAAUCCACUGUAUUUUAAAAACCUCAUUUUAUGAUAUGACCACCCAUUCAAGAAUAUGUCUCCAUUUAUUUAAGUCAAAUCUACUAAUUAAAUUUAAUGUUUGUCUUCAUAGAGAUUAAAUGCAGCUUUUAUUAAGUUACAUUCUAAAUAAUGCAGUUUUUCCUUGUUAUUUAGAAUGAACUCUCUUUUUCCUUUCUAUUUUCUACCUAGUUAUAACUUGGUGAUAUUACUUUAGUGUACUUAUAUCUGGAAAAUUUAUUAAACUCAUUGGUUCUAUAAUUUCUGCACUGGUUGUUUUAGAUUUCAUAGCAUAUAAUCAUUUUAUUCAAAUAAUAUUUUAUCUCUCUAUGUGUUUUAUUAAUCUAUUAUGUUUCUUUUUCUGUUUUUAUGUAUAAAAAUAUUCAAAAACAUUUAAAAUAAUAUUGGUAAUAAUUAAUAUCCUUAUUUGACCCCUAAUUUGGAAGGAAUACUUUUAGUAGAGUUCUAAUGGAUAUAAUAUGGACUUCUGUUUUGAAAUGUCAUUAUUUUUAGAAUGUAUUUUAAGACAAACUAAAAAACUGAAAAAAACAUGUCCAAAGUUCACAGAAGCCAACUUUAAAGGGGCUCCAUCUGGACAUAUUUGGGACACUCAUGUCCCCAAUCAAAUAAAUAAUGAUAAAAAUGGGUUAUAACACACUGAUUUAAAAACAGUAAUCCAUAAGUCACAUCGAUACAUAAAUUAGAAAACAGAUGAUGGGAAAGUGCUUUUUUAUAGAAGAAUGCCUGCUAAUAAAUGUAGAAAGUAUAUGAGGAAUGGAAAAUUACUUUUAUUUACAAUAAAUCAAUUCAGGCAAUAGUCACCAGUUGAUGCUAAAAUUGUUGGGUAAAAAAAUAAAAAUAGAAAUAUAAUUAUCUUCUUUAAUAAAAAUAAAAUUAUAUGGAUCAAUUCACAGAUAACUUAUUAAUAAGAAAGAUACUUACAAAAUGGAGAAAUCUGGCAGCUACCAUCUUAACUAUAUGAUUAAAUUUCACAACACCAGUAAAGGACAGUGUCGCAUCACGUGCCUCCUAAUAUGUUGUACUUCAGAAGAGGAAAAGGUGCCUCUUUUGUUAUAUUCCUGACAAUAAUGUGUAACCUAAGUAGAAUCCUCAGACAAAUUUGAAAUGAGAGGAAGAGUCUGAAAAGCAACUGACCUAGACUCUUCCAAAAUGUCAGUGAUGUGGAAAAACUAAACAAAAGUAGGGAAUUUCUCUAACUGAAAAGAGAAUGAUGAUUGUUUGGAUCCUAAUUUUAAAAAGAAAACAAUAAAACAGCAAAACCAACAGAAGGUUAGAGUGCCUUGGAGACAAAUGGCAAAAGAAAUACAGAUUGUAAAUUAUAUGCAGUAUCAGUGUAAAGUUUCCUGAACAUGAUAAUUAUAUCAUCGCAGUUAUGUAGAGUGUCACUGUUUGGUGAUACAUACUGAAGUACAUAUGGAUCAAGUGCCAUGGACUUUUACAAGUAACUCUCAAAUGGUUCAGCAAAAGCAGUGUAUGUAUGCUGGUGGCUGCAGCUCCGAUUUGAUCCCUAACCUGGGAAUCUCCAUUUGCCGAGGGAGCGGCUAAAGAAAUGGCAAAAAGACCAAAAAAAAAAAAAAAAACUAGGAAAACAGAUGUAACUGCAACAUCCAGAGAUAAUCAUUUCAGUGCUUAUCCUUCCAGAUCGUUCUCUUUAGGGACAUCUGUUUUUUAGGUGAGUUCAUAUGGUAUAUGCCCCUUUACUUGAAAUUUUUUUCAUUAACAAUAUAUUGUGGACAUCUUUCCAGAUUAUUUAAUUUUCUUCUAGACUAUUAUUUUAAGUAGCUGUACAAUAUUGUGUAUUUGUUCCAUGACUUAUUCAAAUAGCUUCUGUUACUGAUUUAAUUUUUUUAUUUUACUAGUGUUCUUAUUACAUUGAUGAAAUAAAAUCUUUGGUCACAAUUUCUUUUAAAUAAAAAAUAUAAUAGCUAGAUCAAAGAGGUUGAAAUUUUAAAAUUUUUAUACGUAUUGCUUAACUGCUUUUUUAAAAAGUACUCUAUCUUGAAAUAGCUUAAUAUAAUUUUUAGAGAAAACCAAUAAAGAAAGUGGCUGGUUUAAAUACUGAGAACUCUACAUAAUCUCUUAGCAAUCUAUAACAUUGUUGGUUGAUUUUAUGAAGGUGAGAAUAAAUUAGUUAUUUCCUGCUAUCAUUAGGAAUAACAUUAAAAAUUUCCGGUAUAAAUUAAAAGUGAGAAAGAGCAUAAGACAUUUUACCAAUAUUAUAAAAGCUAUGAGUUUAUAUAGGAAACAAUUUGAUGAAUGUAGUCUUUCCUUCUUUUUUCCCAAAAUAGAGAUGUUUUUAUUAAUAUUCUAAAUAAUAAAAAUAACAUGAGCUCAUGUUGCAAGUCUGUUUUGCAAGUGGCUUUUAUAAAAGUCUUGCUAAAGUCUUCCCAUAUUACUACACAGAUUUCCCUUACUCUGUAAUUCCCGAAUACUAUAUGGUAUGGUUAUAUCAUAUUUUAGUAAAUAAAUUCCUCAUUGGUAGUUAUUUAGAUUAUUUUUUACUCAGUUACAAAUAAUAAGUAUAUUUUUUGUCUUUUACAGACAUCCAUGUGCUUUAUUUAUUCCAUGAAAUAAAUAUAGCUGUAGCAGUAGAACUGUUAUUGAUAACAAUGUUUGAUAAAAUAUUUGAUAAAAUUGAUAUCAUUGUUAUUGAUAAAAUGAUAAAACUCUGAGUUCUGGAAUUAGAGCUUGAAUACUACCCUCCAUCACGGACAUGCUGUUUAACUUUGGCAAGCUAAUUGAUCUUACCAUUAAAAUGACAUGAAAUCUAAUGGUUGAGGAAUUCUGUAUCCUCUCCUAAUAAUGAAAUUCAUGUAAGGCAAUUACUUUGUACCUGUUGUACUUGGCACAUAGUAAGUGCUAAAAUAACCCUAUUGUUAACAUAAAUUUUUUCUUUAGUGAAUUUUCUGUUCAUUUCUUUUGGACAGUUUCCUUUUAUUUUAUUAAUUAAUUUUUGUAUCAAGAAUAUUUACUAGUGGAGUUCCUGUAGUGGCACAGCAGAAACAAAUCUGACUAGUACCCAUGAGGACACGGGUUUGAUCCCCGGCCUCCCCCAGUGGGUCAGGAAUCCAGCGUUGCCCUGAGCUGUGGUGUACAUUGCUGAUGGGACUUGAAUCCCGAGUUGCUGUGGUGGCGGUGUAGGCCAGCAGCUGUAGCUCUGAUUCGACCCCUAGCCUGGGAACUUCCAUGUGCCACAAAUGCAGCCUUUAAAAGAAAAAAAUCAAUAGUCCCUACUAUAAAUUAAAAAUAUUUUUUCUCAAUUUAUCAUGUCUAUAUUCUAGUUUAGUCAGAUAUGUUAGUCUUUUAUGAUUUCUGGUCUUAGUGUCAUGCUUAGAAAGGAAAUCUCUACUGCAAGAUUUUGUUAAUCCUGUAUUUUCAUCUAGAGAUCUUAGUUUUAUUUUCUAUGUUUAAAUAUUUUCCUCUUUUGUGUGUGGCUAGUACUGCUUCUCCUCCAUUCUCUCCUCUAUUCCCCCAAGGGACAUAUUGGAAAUGUUAGAGUCCUUUUUAAGUUAUCACCACAAUUGAGAAAGCACUACUGGUAUUCACUGGUCAGGAGCCAGGAAUGUCUGCCAGACUCCUUCUGUGCACAGAACUUCUCUCAGUAAAGAAUUUCCGCAUACUCUCAAUCUUACCUUUGCUUUCUGCCAACAACAAACAUCUGAAAACUAAGCAUCUAAGAAUUAAAAAUAAAAAUAACUGGAUUUAAUUCAUUGCUUUGCAGAUUAACUGAGUUUAAAAAUAGUAACACCUGAAUUACAGAGAAAACCUGAAUUUCAUGUACCGGGGGAGUGUUUAGAUUAGUACAACCAUUUUUCGUUGUCUUAUUGUUAAUUGCUCCUUUUCCAUGGUAGUAUAUUCUUGUUUAUUGCCACAAUACCCCUCAAAUAUAACGGAAAACAAAACUAGAAAAUUUCAGUUACCUCUCCUGUUUCUUGCGUUAUUUCUCCUCAUUGAGUACCAUUUGCACAGCUUGUUCACCUUACUCUCCUUUUUGAGCUGCUGAUUUUCUUUUUAUAGCUAGUGAUUUUUAUUUGUAUAGAUAGAUCUUCAUUAGUAGAAUUGAUGUCUCUUUUAGGUUUCUUCAGCAGAUUGGUAAGUCUGGUUGAAGGGAUUCCUCAGCAGAACUUGGCUGGGGAACUGAACUUUUAUGACUUAAUAUGAUCAAUUUGUAAAAUAGAAGUUCAGUCCUUUUCCAUACAUCACAAUGGUCAAAAAGUCAUUCCUUCUUAUUUUAUACUUUUUUUUAUAAUAUAUGUAAGAUAAAGUAGUUUGAGUUCAUAGCCUUCUGAUGGUAAAAGUUUAAGAAUACUACUUAAAAGAGUUGAAAAAGAUAUAGCUUACAAAUAAUUUUCCAUAAACAUCAUUUCUCUUAGUGGGUUUCUUUAAAGGUAAUUACCCACAAGAG
Molecule: long non-coding RNA, 4813 nt
Filed under: Sus scrofa (pig)
Lineage: Eukaryota; Metazoa; Chordata; Mammalia; Artiodactyla; Suidae
Description: lncRNA (ENSSSCG00065049129.1)
Source: RNAcentral